RNAcentral lists this long non-coding RNA (350 nucleotides) under Sinocyclocheilus rhinocerous. Its description in RNAcentral is "lncRNA (ENSSRHG00000022596.1)". Lineage: Eukaryota; Metazoa; Chordata; Actinopteri; Cypriniformes; Cyprinidae. The record is from RNAcentral.
AUAAUUUGGAUAUUUUAUUUAUUUAAUAUUAUUUUAUUUUUUAUGAAAGCAAAAUCUGCAGAUAGAGUCACACCUGAAUACCAUGAUUUCUCCACCACUAAAGGCCCGACAGAAGAGCAACAAAUCACACCAGAGAACUAUGAUGAUGUAAUCACUGUAGGACUGAGACAUCAUGCUACAGAUGACUUACCAGAAAACUAUGAUGAUGUCGUCAUCAUACGACAGUUCUCCAAUGAUAAAGCAGACUAUGAUGAUGUGGAGGAGGAACCAGGAAAACAGGCAGGAGCUGUAUAACACGAACCACAUCCACUGCCUCAAAUCCUUUCAAAGCUUUUAAAGUUUUAGCAAUC